RNAcentral lists this ribosomal RNA (444 nucleotides) under uncultured bacterium. Its description in RNAcentral is "partial 16S ribosomal RNA". It matches the Rfam family "Bacterial small subunit ribosomal RNA", at positions 354 to 796 of the family's 1533-position model. The record is from RNAcentral.
GUAGGGAAUAUUGGGCAAUGGUCGGAAGACUGACCCAGCCAUGCCGCGUGCAGGAAGACGGCCCUCUGGGUUGUAAACUGCUUUUAUCUGGGAAGAAAAAGGCCAUGCGUGGCAAAUUGCCGGUACCAGAUGAAUAAGCACCGGCUAACUCCGUGCCAGCAGCCGCGGUAAUACGGAGGGUGCGAGCGUUGUCCGGAUUUACUGGGUUUAAAGGGUGCGUAGGCGGCUGAUUAAGUCAGCGGUGAAAGACUUCGGCUUAACCGGAGCAGUGCCGUUGAUACUGGUUGGCUUGAGUGUCGGAGGGGUACAUGGAAUUGAUGGUGUAGCGGUGAAAUGCAUAGAUACCAUCAGGAACACCGAUAGCGAAGGCAUUGUACUGGCCGACAACUGACGCUGAUGCACGAAAGUGUGGGGAUCGAACAGGAUUAGAUACCCGGGUAGUCC